AGCUGUGAAUUUUGUUCUCUGUCAGUGUCACGUCAUUUGAUUUUUAUGUGUUCAAGUCAUUUCUCUGUAGAUUUAACUGUGUUUUCUUAAUUCAUGGGAUCAUCAUUAUAAUGGAGAUUCUGUCAUUUGCUGAAUGGAUAGAGACGUUUGUUAUUUGAAAAGUUCAAUUUUUGUGGAAUAAUUCAGUUUCUUUAAAUUCACUUGCCAAUAUGUUCUGAUGUCUUGUGAGCUCCGAAACGAACAUUGAUUUUUUGUCAAUUUCGAUUAACCAAUUUCAUUGUUCCCGAUAAAGAAAGAUCCUCUGCUAUGGAUUUCUUCAUAUCUCCAUGCAUAUAGAUGGUUUAUAUGUUGGGUUAAGUUAAACUCUUAGUUUGCAACUCUUUUCUGUGGCACCUGUUGUUAAUUUGGCUUGUUUUCAACUACAGCUGGGAGAAUGAGAAUCUUGACUCCUUUUUCUUUUUUAAAAUUACUUGUUUUGCAUGCAACAUUAAUCUUGUUCAUGCAGCUUAGAGAAGACCUGGAUUGUUUCUGAUUGGACUAGAGUUUGUUUUUUCAUUACAUAGAAAUGCAUCACAUUAACUUUCAGUUUGACGUUGGAAAAUCAAGCUCAGAUUUUUAAUUGACACUUUUUAAAUAAUUCUGAUAUUCCUAGAUGUGCUUUUCACGUUCUUUGUUUCAACUCCAUAACAGAGUAUUACUUUAACCAAAUUUCUGCAUAUUUCUUAUGUUUAAUGAGAUAUCAAAUGGAUGUCUUAAAUCACUCGUCUUCCUCCUUUCUCCCCUCAAAAGGACAAGAAAAAAGUUUCUGGUUUAGACUUUAUAAUGACUUCUGCACUUCUAAUUGUGUAGGUUGGUUUAAUAGGUUCUAAGCCCAAAAUUUACCAAGUAAAUAAAUAAAUUUUGCUAUUGGUUUACAUAUCUCUGAAUGAUUUCAGUUUUAUAUUGUGCAAAAAGAACUUUAAAAUAAAUGAGAAAUCAUAAUCAAUGACAAGCAUUGUUUGAUGCUGUUUGACUACUUAGAUAGAGAUUGAAAGUAUUGUGCCAUGUUUAACUACUUGUUUUUGUUGAAAUUAUGCAUAUUGAUUUCUCUUGUAUUUAUUUUUUAAUAUUGUUCAUGGUCUCAAACUUUUUGGUGUUUCAGGUUACUGUGGUUGUUUCGCUUCAGCUUUGGACAGCCACAUUACUUCAUGAUGCUGGCUGGCUUAAGAUAUUGGCAAUAGCCUACUUCUUUGGCUCUUUUCUCAACCACAAUCUCUUCUUAGCCAUACAUGAGCUCAGUCACAAUCUUGCUUUCUCAACGCCUGUUUACAACCGUUGGCUUGGGAUUUUUGCUAACCUACCAAUUGGUAUACCCAUGUCUGUAACCUUCCAGAAGUAUCAUCUUGAACACCAUCGCUUCCAAGGAGUAGAUGGUAUUGAUAUGGAUAUCCCAAGCAAUGUUGAAGGCCAUCUUGUGACGAAUGUUGUCACAAAAUCUGUAUGGGUUAUCUUCCAACUCUUCUUCUAUGCUCUGAGGCCUCUGUUUCUCAAACCUAAGCCCCCUGGUUAUUGGGAAUUCAUCAACCUUUUUAUUCAGAUAGCUCUGGAUGUGGCCAUGGUUUAUUUUUGGGGCAGGAGGUCUUUUGCUUAUUUGAUCCUUUCCACAUUUGUUGGAGGUGGGAUGCACCCCAUGGCUGGUCAUUUCAUCUCAGAACAUUAUGUCUUCAAGCCAGAGCAAGAAACGUAUUCCUAUUAUGGCCCCCUGAAUUUUCUAACUUGGCAUGUGGGGUACCAUAAUGAGCAUCAUGAUUUCCCAAGGAUCCCUGGUAGCAAGCUUCACAAGGUGAAGGAAAUUGCACCAGAAUAUUAUGAAGGUUUAGACUCGUACAAAUCUUGGAGCCAAGUCAUAUAUAUGUAUAUUAUGGACCGGACAGUUGGGCCCUACAGCCGAAUGAAGAGAAAGGUGUCAACUACUACAAAGAAAUCUGAGUAGUUGCUCCCCAUCUUUGUCAGUUCUUUUUAGUUUUUCCCCUCCUCUUGUUGGCAAUGGGAUACUAAAAACAAUCUAUAGUCUGUAACAAAUUUGAAAUUUUGCUGUAGUCUGGGGCUGAAAAUUUGAGUUAAUUAUUUAUUCUUCGUUUGCAAAUAGCUUUAUAAUGUGUGUUAUGUCCCCAAAACAUAAAAGAUGCCACUAUGCUCUGUACUUGUGUAUACAUAAAAGCAUGCUUGUACUAAUUAUUGUAGAGUGAAAGGCCUUAUUUCUUGGUCAUGCUGCAAGCUUGGGGACAUAGG
Molecule: unclassified non-coding RNA, 2271 nt
Filed under: Hevea brasiliensis (rubber tree)
Lineage: Eukaryota; Viridiplantae; Streptophyta; Magnoliopsida; Malpighiales; Euphorbiaceae
Source: RNAcentral